RNAcentral lists this non-coding RNA (23 nucleotides) under Arabidopsis thaliana (thale cress). The record is from RNAcentral. Lineage: Eukaryota; Viridiplantae; Streptophyta; Magnoliopsida; Brassicales; Brassicaceae.
CGAUACGGAUGGUGUUGGAUUCA